RNAcentral lists this ribosomal RNA (375 nucleotides) under uncultured organism. Its description in RNAcentral is "partial 16S ribosomal RNA". It matches the Rfam family "Bacterial small subunit ribosomal RNA", at positions 527 to 896 of the family's 1533-position model. The record is from RNAcentral.
GUAGGUGGCAAGCGUUGUCCGGAAUUAUUGGGCGUAAAGCGCGCGCAGGCGGUCCUUUAAGUCUGAUGUGAAAGCCCACGGCUCAACCGUGGAGGGUCAUUGGAAACUGGGGGACUUGAGUACAGAAGAGGAAAGCGGAAUUCCAAGUGUAGCGGUGAAAUGCGUAGAGAUUUGGAGGAACACCAGUGGCGAAGGCGGCUUUCUGGUCUGUAACUGACGCUGAGGCGCGAAAGCGUGGGGAGCAAACAGGAUUAGAUACCCUGGUAGUCCACGCCGUAAACGGUGAGUGCUAAGUGUUAGGGGGUUUCCCGCCCCCCUUAGUGCUGCAGCUAACGCAUUAAGCACUCCGCCUGGGGGAGUACGGCCGCAAGGCUG